UACGGAGGGUGCGAGCGUUAAUCGGAAUUACUGGGCGUAAAGCGUGCGCAGGCGGUUUGUUAAGCGAGAUGUGAAAGCCCCGGGCUCAACCUGGGAACCGCAUUUCGAACUGGCAAACUAGAGUCUUGUAGAGGGGGGUAGAAUCCCAGGUGUAGCGGUGAAAUGCGUAGAGAUCUGGAGGAAUACCGGUGGCGAAGGCGGCCCCCUGGACAAAGACUGACGCUCAGGCACGAAAGCGUGGGGAGCAAACAGG
Molecule: ribosomal RNA, 253 nt
Filed under: uncultured microorganism
Description: partial 16S ribosomal RNA
Rfam family: Bacterial small subunit ribosomal RNA
Source: RNAcentral